Canis lupus familiaris (dog) is the source of this 1000-nucleotide long non-coding RNA. RefSeq lists it as uncharacterized. The transcript is spliced from 4 exons. Lineage: Eukaryota; Metazoa; Chordata; Mammalia; Carnivora; Canidae. The record is from RefSeq and is a predicted model, not a curated record.
UAUUUGGCCUUGGCACUGGAGAAAAGGCUCCUAGAAUUCAGAUGGCUUCUUCUGGACCCUCAUUUGCUUCUACUGGAAGGUCGAAUUCGUAGUGUUCAGGAUGAUCUGACAGUUACCUAGGAGAGGUUAGGAAAUGAGGCGCCCUGUGACCAUCCUGGAUUUUUCCGAGCCGAGACAACAGAAGACCCCAGAGAUUGGAAAACGAGCUGUCCAGUGCGAAGCCCACCUUUUGACCACAAGAAGGAAAAGCACGAAGGGCCGGGCCCCAGACGGCCCAUUCCGGGCACCCCCCAAACUCCUCGUCCUCCCAUCCUCCAGUUGGCAGCCACAGUGUACCGGCAGUUCUGAGGGGCCGCCCUUUUGGGCCUUCCAAGGACCCACCCAGCGAGGACUCUGUAAAGCGCAGAAGGCGGCGCUGCAGAAAACAAAAACGUGGACUCUCCAGGAGGCGCAGUCACAAAACGCUAGUCCCAACCCGAUUCCUCCAGUUCCUGAGAGACCGUCAGCUCCGGCCCCGCAGCCACUGCGCCCUCCUGUCCCCAUAGUCUUCUGGCUCCAGCAGGACCACAUGUCCUCCUCACCUGAUGGCCUGAAGACAAAAGAAAGCCGAACUUCGGACCCACGCGGCUCCACACACAGGACGAGGUUAGCCUUCCCACCUGGGACCCUGCGGUGAUAAGCUGUGGGUCAGGCCACGCCCCAGCCAUCUAUGAUUGGCUGAUGGAUCCCAGGCCCGCCCCUUCGCCCCUACCCCCUGCUUUGUCUUGUAGGCUUGAGCCCUUGGUCUCACUUCUACUCAAGACCUCUCCCCUGCCUCAGUAUCUUGAUGAUGUCAUAACAGAGCCGCCUACAUAGACCCUGGUCUCUCCCAUUAUUCUUGUGCUGAGGAUCCACUUCCCUUCUUCCCAAGUUUUCUCACUUCUCCAAGGUAACUGGGACCUCUAAAUAAGCAAACACUUCUUUCCCAGUUAGCUUCCAACAUGUGGAACUGACUUUUUAU